Molecule: unclassified non-coding RNA, 614 nt
Organism: Octopus bimaculoides (California two-spot octopus)
Lineage: Eukaryota; Metazoa; Mollusca; Cephalopoda; Octopoda; Octopodidae
Source: RefSeq, a predicted model, not a curated record
CCACUAUAUGAGCUAACCCCUAAUUCUUCUGUUUCUUCUUUCAGAAGGAAACCACGGAUAUAUCAGUGCAGAAUCCGAAAACCCAACUAGAUGGAAACGGAAACAAAUAUAUCACUUAUGAGAUUACUGUCAAUACAACAGAUCUGUCCUAUUCUUUAUCGAAAAGCCGGUCACGCAGGCGGUACAGUGAGUUUGAAUGGUUACGUAAACAGCUCGAGAUAAACCACCCAGAUAUCAAACCUUCCAAGUUACCCAGACAUUUAUAUUUCAAUGAGAAAUUUGAUGAAGACUGCAUUGCUCAUCGGAUGAAAGGGCUUCAAAAAUUUCUAUACGAAUGCAGUUUGGUAAAAGAUUAUGUCUCCGAUGCAUCGUUCCACCUCUUUCUACAGAGUGACUUAACUUGGGAUGAACUCAUUCAACAUUCGAAAGGAAACUACAAACCGUCCUUAACUGAAGUUUGGAAAAUGGGUGGCCGAACGCACCCAAAAGAGCCAGAUUUUUGGGAGCUGAUUGUUGCUGACAUUCCGUCCGAAACCUCCAAAGAUACAAAUUAAUUACUUUUAUAUCGUUCUAAAUUAAUUAAUACCACAAUAAAUAACUUAUUUUUCUGUAAA